This 1477-nucleotide long non-coding RNA is filed under the name Felis catus (domestic cat). RNAcentral describes it as "lncRNA (ENSFCAG00000044838.2)". Lineage: Eukaryota; Metazoa; Chordata; Mammalia; Carnivora; Felidae. The record is from RNAcentral.
CUCUCGGGGCCCUGUGAGGAUGAAGGAAGUACCCCAUGCAAACGUGAUGUAAGUUCUAAUUCUUCAUGCACCUGUAUCUUCUCUCUCCAGGGAGGCUGAAUUUUCCUAAGAGUACGAAUCAAGCGGCUCCUCUACCUGUAAAACGGGGAAUUCGCCUGGUGUGCAUUGGGAUCUAAAGGGAUCUCUGGGAUGUUGUGGCUGGAGAGAGACACAUGUGGAUGGUGUUGGACACUGGAUUUGUCCAUCAGAGCUCAAGGAGUCAGAAGUCACUGUGGAAGGACCAUGGGGGAUAAUUUAAGGAGCUCCAAGACCCCAUCUCACGACCGGGAUCCCAGAGCUGUCUGGGACCUCCCUGGCCCUAUUGUGGUAAAGCGAAACUCACUGCGGAAUAGGAGGAGCUCGGGAACUGAGAGCCCGGCCUCUCUUCUCCAAGUGAGUCAGUUAACAAGUGGAAAAGAGAAACCCCUUCACCACUGAAUUUUUAACCGCACCAGAAACUGCCCAUCUGUUUGGUCCAACGCGGGAGGGGCAAUUUGGUUACUCUGUCUACAGGCUUGGGGCAAGUAGGAACAGAGACGAGGUUGGAAGCAUUGUUAACGUGUGCGUUUUCUUCAGUCAUUAAAGGAGAGCGGCAAACUUGGGACGUUUGAAGGGAACCGUCAUCCACUUCACAAGCAGUCGUUUGGUGCUGUGACUAAGACGUGGAAGGACUUGGACGAGGCAUCGGGGCCACCGGAGUGUCACACGGUCGGUCCCUUUUGUCGUGGAGCUUACUUUUAGGAGAAGAGACAGGGCAGAGGAAGUGGGGGCAUGGGACAACGCGCGCUGAGACCGCGUGCUGCGUCAGGCUGUGUCUGUGUUUCUCAUGCACGCGGAGCCCCUAAUAGACAGCAGGCAGGGUGCGCCCAGAAUCGAGGGGCCGGGCAGGCACUGAGUCCGAAUUCCCAGGAAGGCGGGCGAGCGAGUGAGCUCCGUGGGGCAGAGGCAGUGAGAGAGGACAUCUGCGGGAGUGGCCUUGGACGUGGCUCCCACAGAGCGGUGGCCUCCAGGCCAGCAUCGCUGAAAGAAUAACCCAUCUGCCCCAUGUCCCUAGCACACUUCUGCCUCUGCCUCCUCCCCUUCCCUCACCUCUUCUUCCCCUGGCUGGGGAGCACUCAGGAAUGACUCUCUGAGCCCUGGUGGUGGGGGUGGGGGGCACCCUACCUGGCCGAUGUCUUACAAUCUCCAGCAACCACACACCAAACAGAGUCUCUUGGCUGGAAAGCACGGCGGUCCCUUGGAACCUCUUCUUGGAAAAAGCAAACGCUCGCUCAGUGUUUGAGCCUCCUGGCUGGUUCCUUUGGAAGGGGGGGUGCGGGAGCCGCUGCCCAGGGGGACGGAGGGGUGAAGUGGAAAAACAUGGACUGGUUUCACAGCAGAGCAUAGGGAGGCUGGGAACUGUUCUGCUCUGUGAACAAAGUCAGGCUAAAGGCGGCAG